This 73-nucleotide transfer RNA is filed under the name Canis lupus familiaris (dog). It matches the Rfam family "tRNA". Rfam says of the family: Transfer RNA (tRNA) molecules are approximately 80 nucleotides in length. Their secondary structure includes four short double-helical elements and three loops (D, anti-codon, and T loops). Further hydrogen bonds mediate the characteristic L-shaped molecular structure. tRNAs have two regions of fundamental functional importance: the anti-codon, which is responsible for specific mRNA codon recognition, and the 3' end, to which the tRNAs corresponding amino acid is attached (by aminoacyl-tRNA synthetases). tRNAs cope with the degeneracy of the genetic code in two manners: having more than one tRNA (with a specific anti-codon) for a particular amino acid; and 'wobble' base-pairing, i.e. permitting non-standard base-pairing at the 3rd anti-codon position. Lineage: Eukaryota; Metazoa; Chordata; Mammalia; Carnivora; Canidae. The record is from Rfam by way of RNAcentral. RNAcentral also lists the same sequence under 3 other names.
ACCUGACUGGUUCAAUUGGUAGAGCAUGUGAGUCUUGAUCUCAGGGGCAUGAGUUCAAGCCCCAUGUUGGGCA